Molecule: ribosomal RNA, 250 nt
Filed under: uncultured bacterium
Lineage: Bacteria
Description: partial 16S ribosomal RNA
Rfam family: Bacterial small subunit ribosomal RNA
Source: RNAcentral
UACGGGGGGGGCAAGCGUUGUUCGGAAUUACUGGGCGUAAAGGGUGCGUAGGCGGCUCUCUAAGUCGGAUGUGAAAACUCUGGGCUCAACCCAGAGCCUGCAUCUGAAACUGGAGGGCUAGGGUUCUGGAGGGGAAAGCGGAAUUCCUGGUGUAGCGGUGAAAUGCGUAGAUAUCAGGAGGAACACCGGUGGCGAAGGCGGCUUUCUGGACAGAUACCGACGCUGAGGCACGAAAGCUAGGGGAGCAAAC